This is a small nuclear RNA of Callithrix jacchus (white-tufted-ear marmoset), 104 nucleotides long. The record is from Ensembl. Lineage: Eukaryota; Metazoa; Chordata; Mammalia; Primates; Cebidae.
GUGCUCUCUUUGGCAGUACAUACACUGAAAUUGGAAUGAUACAGAGAUGAUUAGCAUGGCCCUGUGCAAGGAUGACACAAAUUCAUGAAGACUUUCAUUAAAAA